Molecule: long non-coding RNA, 1371 nt
Organism: Diachasmimorpha longicaudata
Lineage: Eukaryota; Metazoa; Arthropoda; Insecta; Hymenoptera; Braconidae
Exons: 2
Source: RefSeq, a predicted model, not a curated record
CAACGAUCGCCUCUUAUCUUUGUGGAAAGUUGAUCCCAAUUUUUUCUACAUUUGGGGGUUAGAAAAAGUGUCUCUAUGUUUUUUUCAAUUGUUUACAGCUCAUGGAGGGUCGAAUGAUUAUUUACGGGUUUAUUGACCUGUUAGAUAUCAAUGAAACAUGGGCAGGCGUUCUAAAUCUCGUACAAUGUUAACUUGUAUGAAGAUGUUUCGAUUGUGCUCCUGUGGACCUCCAUUGCCGAGCUAUUGUCGACGAAAAAUCUGUGCCAUAUACAUCCAGAGCACCAGCUACUUAUAUACGUUCACGAUAAAAGGUCAAAUAAUCGAUUGCCGGUUUCUGGAGUGAUUACGAUAACUUCACGACAUUGGGAAGUUAAAAAACAGCUCUGAUACAACUCAAUAAAUUUAGGAGAUAUUUUUCCUAGCCCCCCUCUCCACUAGAUCGUAAGCUUUUCGAGAUGAAUUUUCAAGAGAGUGAUGAUAAACUGUUAACUCACCUGGCAUGAAAUACUCCACGUGUUCUCCUCUGAAAAUUGACGAGAAUCAGGCGUAAUGAAAUUUCAAAGGAAAAAAUUAUAUUUUAUUUACGUUAUCUUUUGGUUUUCAUGAUUCAGGAAUAUUCUAUUAGCUACGGAGCUGAUAUACUGUGUGAACUUUUCCGGGUACUUCAAUUGAUUAGAUUACAGAAAAUUCCCUAGUUGUAAUGUAAACAAUUGAUUUUUCUCCAUUUAAAAUUAAGAAAUGGACGUCUCAUGAUUCCAUUCUUAUUUAUAAUUAUUUGAAAAGAGAGAAACCAGUCGUGAUGUUGCUAAAUAUAUUAUGCCGCCGAUAAAAAGUAACAUAUUUGAGAUCUUUGAGAGUAUAAGAAAAAUUUUAUUGUAAAGUUUCUAUGCUGACGAUAGAGAUAAAAGUCACGAAAAUUUAUGUCUAGUCUAUUUUGAACAAUAGUGAGUUUAUUCAAUGAUAAAAUUGCGAGGUCACAGGUCACUCCGAAAUCGCGUUGUUCAGUGAUUUCCGAUGAUUUCUUGAAUUAUAAUUUGCCAAUAACAAUUGGCAAGUAUGAGUUUGUUUUGAUUUUUCGUGAUUUCCGCUUAAUUUCAAUAAUGUGAUAAUUGUUAAAAAUCGAAUAUGCAGAAUAUUCGUGGAGUCAACGAGCUCGGAAAGGCCUUAUGUGUACAACAAUAAGAGUCAAAUGGCGUGUACAUUUGAAGGGCAUGAGGAUCUCCAAUGAGUGCGCUCAAAUAAAAAUAAAUGAGUUUCACUUUCAUCAAUGAUAUUUAAUUAUUUCUGAAAUCACCCGAUUUCGUCAUGAGUUCUACUGUUUUUCAAUGAUUUUCAGACGUCAUUAGAAAUCACUGCCGGAACGGAAAAUCA